GUUUAUAAAAGGUUUAUGAUAAACUUUUAUUUCCAAGGAAGUAAGUGGGAGCACUAUAGAAUUUCUGAUGAGUAUAUGUGGUUGACAUAUUGUUGAUCGGGAAUGAUGUAGAAUUUCUCGAAAGCAUAAAGGGUUGUUUGAAAGGACUUUUUUAAAGGAAAACCUGGAUUGAGCUACUUGAACAUUGAGCAUCAAGAUCUAUAGAGAUAGAUCAAAACGCUUAAUAGAACUUUCAAAUGAAUACAUACCGUGACAAGAUUUUGAAGAAGUUCAAAAUAGAUCAGUCAAAGAAAGAGUUCUUGGUCGUGUGAGUAUUGAGUAAGACUCAAAGCCCGACCAUGAUAGAAGAAAGAGAAAGGACAAAGGUCGCCCCUUAUGCAUUAGCCGUAGGC
RNAcentral lists this long non-coding RNA (392 nucleotides) under Hordeum vulgare. RNAcentral's name for it is "long non-coding RNA (HVUL_LNC021155)". The record is from RNAcentral. Lineage: Eukaryota; Viridiplantae; Streptophyta; Magnoliopsida; Poales; Poaceae.